GAGACUCUGUGCGCGUGCAUAUCAAUAAGCGGAGGAAAAGAAACUAACAAGGAUUCCCUUAGUAACGGCGAGUGAAGCGGGAAGAGCUCAAAUUUGAAAUCUUCAAGGUUCUACCUUGACGAAUUGUAGUUUAUAGAAGGUGUUUUCUGUUAGUAGAGUGGCAAAAGUUCUUUGGAAUAGGACAUCAUAGAGGGCGAGAAUCCCGUAUUUGGUCAUUCCUCCUAGCUUUGUGAUACACUUUCAACGAGUCGGAUUGUUUGGGAAUGCAGUCCAAAAUGGGUGGUAAAUUUCAUCUAAAGCUAAAUAUUGGCGAGAGACCGAUAGCGAACAAGUACCGUGAGGGAAAGAUGAAAAGAACUUUGAAAAGAGAGUUAAACAGUACGUGAAAUUGUCAAAAGGGAAGCGUUUGACACCAGUGUUGUUUUUCCGAAAAUCAAUUACGAAUGUUUUGUUUUUAAGAGAGUUAUGACUUCAUCGGCUUGCUCCUUUCUUUACGAAACUUUCUUAAUGCACUUUUCGGUUAACAAGUCAACAUCAAUUUCUUUUGUUGUAAAAGGGUACGAUUGGAAGGUGGCUUUCUUUUCGGAGAAAGUGUUUAUAGCCUUUGUAUCUCUGCAACCGGAGAGACUGAGGUCUGCAGCGUAGACUCUUCGGGGUUAGAUACAUUUGUGCUAAGCUAUAGCUUUUUAUAGACAACUUGUUGACUAUAUUUAGUCUUAUGGCUUACUCGCUUAUGCUAUUUUACCUACGCUUAGGAUGUUGACGAUCAGCUGAGCGCG
This 779-nucleotide ribosomal RNA is filed under the name uncultured Neocallimastigales. RNAcentral's name for it is "partial large subunit ribosomal RNA". It matches the Rfam family "Eukaryotic large subunit ribosomal RNA", at positions 23 to 646 of the family's 3401-position model. Lineage: Eukaryota; Fungi; Neocallimastigomycota; Neocallimastigomycetes; Neocallimastigales. The record is from RNAcentral.